AGGACGAACGCUGGCGGCGUGCUUAACACAUGCAAGUCGAGCGGAAAGGCCCUUCGGGGUACUCGAGCGGCGAACGGGUGAGUAACACGUGAGCAACCUGCCCUUAGCUCUGGGAUAGCUCCGGGAAACCGGAAUUAAUACCGGAUAUGACCUAGGCCGACAUCGGCCGUGGUGGAAAGUUUUUCGGCUAGGGAUGGACUCGCGGCCUAUCAGCUAGUUGGUGGGGUAAUGGCCUACCAAGGCGACGACGGGUAGCCGGCCUGAGAGGGCGACCGGCCACACUGGGACUGAGACACGGCCCAGACUCCUACGGGAGGCAGCAGUGGGGAAUCUUGCACAAUGGGCGAAAGCCUGACGCAGCGACGCCGCGUGGGGGAUGAAGGCCUUCGGGUUGUAAACCCCUUUCAGCAGGGACGAAGCGAAAGUGACGGUACCUGCAGAAGAAGCGCCGGCUAACUACGCGCCAGCAGCCGC
RNAcentral lists this ribosomal RNA (474 nucleotides) under uncultured bacterium. RNAcentral's name for it is "SSU rRNA". It matches the Rfam family "Bacterial small subunit ribosomal RNA", at positions 26 to 518 of the family's 1533-position model. The record is from RNAcentral.